CACGUAGGGGGCAAGCGUUGUCCGGAUUUAUUGGGCGUAAAGAGCUCGUAGGCUGUUCGAUAAGUCGGGUGUGAAACCUCCAGGCUCAACCUGGAGACGCCACCCGAUACUGUCAUGACUAGAGUCCGGUAGGGGAGCGUGGAAUUCCUGGUGUAGCGGUGAAAUGCGCAGAUAUCAGGAGGAACACCAGCGGCGAAGGCGGCGCUCUGGGCCGGUACUGACGCUGAGGAGCGAAAGCGUGGGGAUCAAACAGG
This 254-nucleotide ribosomal RNA is filed under the name uncultured bacterium. RNAcentral describes it as "partial 16S ribosomal RNA". It matches the Rfam family "Bacterial small subunit ribosomal RNA", at positions 524 to 776 of the family's 1533-position model. The record is from RNAcentral.